RNAcentral lists this transfer RNA (56 nucleotides) under Trichonephila clavipes. RNAcentral describes it as "tRNA-Val". Lineage: Eukaryota; Metazoa; Arthropoda; Arachnida; Araneae; Nephilidae. The record is from RNAcentral.
UAAGCUUAUAAGCAUUUCAUUUACACUGAAAAGAAUCAAAUAAACUUUAUUUUUAA